ACAGGGCCCGACCUGGGGCUCGAACCCACGAACCGCGAGAUCAUGACCUGAGCCGAAGGUGGACACUUAACCAGCUGAGCCACCCGGGUGCCCCAGCACCUGCCUUCUUGGGUUGAGAGCCGGUGCUUGGAGAGGUAUUUUGAACAGUGACGGGUGGGUCACGAAGCUCAGUGGCAUGAGCCAGCGUCACUGCUCUGCGGCCCCGUUCUUGUCGGUGCGGGUGGACCAGGUACGUGCGGGAAUGAAAGCGAGCGCCUAAGCUUGGGUUUGGGACAGACAGACAGGGCUACAUGGGCUCGGAUUCCAGCAGGGACCUCGUUUCCCAGACCCUAAGUCCCCGAGCCCCGGGUGGGUGGAAAGAAGGCGGGGGGCUGGGGAUCGAGGCGGACGGUGGGCGGAGGCUGCCUGUCUGGUCUCAUCCGAGGAGUCAGUGCCCGGACGCUGUGGAGCCCGACGCCGGACGUCAGAGGCGUCUUGGGAGGUGACAGCACGGGCUGGGUACAGCGGGGCGGGAGGGGAGGGCACGGGGGAGGGCUGUCCCCGUCCUGCUCGGUGCCUGGCACGUAGGUGCUUGCCGAAUGCUUGGAUGGAUGCGUGCGCGCCUGCGGGUGACCUGGGAGCCCCGCCUGGCCCUUCCCGGUCGAGCUGGCCCGCGGGCCCGUCUAGGAGCGCACGCUGGGGCGCCGUGGCUGGAGCUGGGAAGGUGAGCGUCCCGGCCUUUGCAGGAGGCCCCCCGGCAGACCCCUCUGGGGAGAACCGUUCACCGUGGUUUGCAAAUGUCAACAGAAAUAACCUUUAAAAUUGACGUAUCGUAGAAACUUCUCACUGGAGCCUUUUACAGAAACUGAUUUAAACCACGGACCACAACGGGCCCCGGCUUCUUCCCGGGGACGAGAACUGGGUUCUUGGCCGAGUCGCAGCCCUGACCAGCCGCGUGAUAUUGAGACUCACAGGGCUCUGCCUGCAGAGCAGAACCUGCCUUUGGUUGUCGGCACCACCAGCUUUCUCACUGCAUGACUCCGAGCCUCAGUCUCCCCAUCUGUAAAACGGGAAUGCACGGUGAGGGCCUGGCCGGUGCUCAUCCCUCUACAGAUGGGGUCAGGGAUGCUUCCCGACCAGUACAUGGAUGUGCAUAUGUGCUCAGACAUUGGCACACGCGAGCGGCCUGCCUGGGACGCUUCUCUGCCCGCUCGCCGCUUCUAGACUCCUCUGGACCCCUG
Leopardus geoffroyi (Geoffroy's cat) is the source of this 1220-nucleotide long non-coding RNA. RefSeq lists it as uncharacterized. Lineage: Eukaryota; Metazoa; Chordata; Mammalia; Carnivora; Felidae. The transcript is spliced from 3 exons. The record is from RefSeq and is a predicted model, not a curated record.